Molecule: ribosomal RNA, 325 nt
Filed under: Colletotrichum gloeosporioides
Lineage: Eukaryota; Fungi; Ascomycota; Sordariomycetes; Glomerellales; Glomerellaceae
Description: partial large subunit ribosomal RNA
Rfam family: Eukaryotic large subunit ribosomal RNA
Source: RNAcentral
UAUAUUUCUUCUAAAGCUAAAUACCGGCCAGAGACCGAUAGGAACAAGUAGAGUGAUCGAAAGAUGAAAAGCACUUUGAAAAGAGGGUUAAACAGCACGUGAAAUUGUUAAAAGGGAAGCGCUUGUGACCAGACUUGCGUCCGGUGAAUCACCCAGCUCUCGCGGCUGGGGCACUUCGCCGGCUCAGGCCAGCAUCAGCUCGCUGUCGGGGACAAAAGCUUCAGGAACGUAGCUCUCUUCGGGGAGUGUUAUAGCCUGUUGCAUAAUACCCUUCGGCGGGCUGAGGUACGCGUCCGCAAGGAUGCUGGCAUAAUGGUCAUCAGCG